CUAGCAAGAUGUGCAUCAGCUUAGCUUUGUUGGUUUUGACCAGAGAGCCAUCAAAGUUGGAAAUUGACUGUGGAAAAGGACCCAAACUGGUCAUGGAAUGAUGCUUGGCCAUGGACUAUCCUUUUUUCACAGAAUUCAGGUCCAGCGGUGAACUGCACCCUUGUUCAGAGAGAACCCACUGAUGCCUCCCUUUGUCUUGGAGUCACGAUUGGCUGUUUGCUCAAUGACUUGAUCACAUGCUGUGCCGGCAAAACCAUGACUUUGAUGUCUUUGUGCCACAAAGUCACCUGAAAGAAGCUGCUGGUGUGCUGAAGGGCAAAAAACCAGGGCAGCAUACUUUGCACAGUGGACAAAUGGAGAGCCCAGUUCCCCUCUCUUGUUGCCCUGAUGAAAAGAAGCAAAUCUUCCAUCAUGUCAAGCAUGCCCUUGAACUCUUCAGAGGGAAAACACUCCUGCAGAUCUGUUGCCACUUUUAAAGCAGCGGCAUUUUGUUCUUGUGUGAGUGUAUCCAAGUAUGCCCACCAUCGUAGUUUCUGGAGUGCUUCCAUCAGGAGUUUGUGA
Carassius auratus (goldfish) is the source of this 561-nucleotide long non-coding RNA. RefSeq lists it as uncharacterized. The record is from RefSeq and is a predicted model, not a curated record. The transcript is spliced from 5 exons. Lineage: Eukaryota; Metazoa; Chordata; Actinopteri; Cypriniformes; Cyprinidae.